RNAcentral lists this transfer RNA (74 nucleotides) under bacterium. RNAcentral describes it as "tRNA-Gly". It matches the Rfam family "tRNA". Rfam says of the family: Transfer RNA (tRNA) molecules are approximately 80 nucleotides in length. The record is from RNAcentral.
GCGGGUAUAGUAUAAUGGUAGCACACGACCUUCCCAAGGUUGAGACACGGGUUCGAUUCCCGUUACCCGCUCCA